Sinocyclocheilus rhinocerous is the source of this 965-nucleotide long non-coding RNA. RefSeq lists it as uncharacterized. The record is from RefSeq and is a predicted model, not a curated record. The transcript has 6 exons. NCBI's taxonomy places the organism in Eukaryota, Metazoa, Chordata, Actinopteri, Cypriniformes, Cyprinidae.
GCGCUUUUACAUCAGAACUACAAGUCCCGAGAUGCACUGCGGCGGAGAGCGGCGGAAGAGGGCGGAGCCACUGUCGGCUUUCUGACAGACACUUUCAGGAAGUGCUCGAGGAGGAUCCAGCCUGACGUGUGUGUGUUCGGACGCAGAGCGAGAGCAGCACAACACACAGGAAGUGAGCCGAGAGACGGAGGAAGUGGAGGAGCAUGACAGAGUUCUGGGUGUGUUUCAGCUGCUGCGUCGCUGAGCAGCCGCAACCCAAGCGGAGGCGGAGGAUCGAUCGCUCGAUGAUCGGAGAACCCACAAACUUCAUUCAUAUGACACACGUGGGCUCUGGAGACAUGGGCCUGGGAGCUGUGGACUCGGUGCAGACGCAGAUGAAGUCUAAAGGUGGCUACGGGAGCAGCACAGCGCACAGCGUCCAGAGCUGAUCAGCUGCUGGGAGUCGUCUGAAGCAGACGCCGGAGCCAGAGAUCACGUCACCCGCGGGUGGACAUAUUUUUGUAAUGAAAGCACUGCUAUUCUUUUACUGCUUCAUCCAUUGUCCUGUACAAAACAUGCUCCAACGCUAGAGAUGGAUCUGAAUGCCUGUCAAAUGCAUGCUUGUUUCUGUGAGGAUCAAUGUUCUGAUUAGGUUUUUCUCUUGGAUCUGUAUUUACUUCAUGGUUUAAUGAUGGCUGGGCCACAUGAGAUACACAGAUACACAGAUCCAGACGCUUCAGAGCUGUUAUUAGGUCUGUAGUAACUACUUUUGGUCACGUUUUGUACCUUUCCAAUAUUCCCUGGAAAAUGGAAUAUCUUUUUUUUUUUUUUUAUCUUUUAAAUGUGCUGUGUUUGCGGUAAACUUGAAUUGUGCAUCUCACUGUAAUAUUUGUGCAAUGCUCGUAUGGGAUGCAUUGACAGGAAAGUAUUUUUGUACAAAUUGUGUUCAUUUUCAUUCUGAUGCCUGAAUAAAAUUUCAGCCUUGU